GCAUAUCAAUAAGCGGAGGAAAAGAAACCAACAGGGAUUGCCCUAGUAACGGCGAGUGAAGCGGCAACAGCUCAAAUUUGAAAUCUGGCUCUUUUAGAGUCCGAGUUGUAAUUUGCAGAGGGCGCUUUGGCUUUGGCAGCGGUCCAAGUUCCUUGGAACAGGACGUCACAGAGGGUGAGAAUCCCGUACGUGGUCGCUGGCUAUUGCCGUGUAAAGCCCCUUCGACRAGUCGAGUUGUUUGGGAAUGCAGCUCUAAAUGGGAGGUACAUUUCUUCUAAAGCUAAAUAUUGGCCAGAGACCGAUAGCGCACAAGUAGAGUGAUCGAAAGAUGAAAAGCACUUUGGAAAGAGAGUCAAACAGCACGUGAAAUUGUUGAAAGGGAAGCGCUUGCAGCCAGACUUGCUUACAGUUGCUCAUCCGGGUUUCUACCCGGUGCACUCUUCUGUAGGCAGGCCAGCAUCAGUUUGGGCGGUAGGAUAAAGGUCUCUGUCACGUACCUCCUUUCGGGGAGGCCUUAUAGGGGAGACGACAUACUACCAGCCUGGACUGAGGUCCGCGCAUCUGCUAGGAUGCUGGCGUAAUGGCUGUAAGCGGCCCGUCUUGAAACACGGACCAAGGAGUCUAACAUCUAUGCGAGUGUUUGGGUGUCAAGCCCGAGCGCGUAAUGAAAGUGAACGGAGGUGGGAACCCGCAAGGGUGCACCAUCGACCGAUCCUGAUGUCUUCGGAAGGAUUUGAGUAAGAGCAUGGCUGUUGGGACCCGAAAGAUGGUGAACUAUGCUUGAAUAGGGUGAAGCCAGAGGAAACUCUGGUGGAGGCUCGCAGCGGUUCUGACGUGCAAAUCGAUCGUCAAAUUUGGGCAUAGGGGCGAAAGACUAAUCG
This 881-nucleotide ribosomal RNA is filed under the name Alternaria alternata. RNAcentral's name for it is "LSU rRNA". It matches the Rfam family "Eukaryotic large subunit ribosomal RNA", at positions 38 to 937 of the family's 3401-position model. The record is from RNAcentral. Lineage: Eukaryota; Fungi; Ascomycota; Dothideomycetes; Pleosporales; Pleosporaceae.